Molecule: long non-coding RNA, 979 nt
Filed under: Equus caballus (horse)
Lineage: Eukaryota; Metazoa; Chordata; Mammalia; Perissodactyla; Equidae
Description: lncRNA (ENSECAG00000047831.1)
Source: RNAcentral
GGUUCUGGACACCAAAGCGCAAGUGAACUUCUUUGGUUGACAGUACUCUGCAUAUUGUGGCACAUCAACAUGUCAGGAGGGUAAAGAGUCCUGAGGACAAGGAUGCUUCAUGUUUGGGACCCUCCCAGACCUUGACCUUUCACUGGUCUCUCCCCUGGGGAUGCAUUACCUUUUUUUCUAACAUGAAAAAUUCUGAGUUCAAAAUUAUGUUCAAUGGGAACUGAAAGUAGACUACAAAGAGGAUGCCUCCAGUCUCCUUUUAUACCUUCCCAAAAGAUGAUGUAAUACUUUGAACAGCCAAGAAGAGAACUGAAGGGUGGUACACUAGCUGUUGAGAAGAAAACUGAUGUGAAGAGGACAAGAACAAAAGCACGGAGACUAAUAAAUUAUUGCAAUACUCUGGAUCCCAGUUUUGUUCAGAGAGCGAAUGCCCAGGAAAAAUAUGCCCAGAAGCUCUCACAGCUAAAAGCCAUCAUGUGACUCGUACUGACUGAUGAGAUGGGAAUGGAAGUCUACCUGGAGGAUAAGCUGUAUGUUUUCACGUUAAAAAGAAAGACUUGGUGGGGCCUGCCUGUGACCAAGUGGUUAAAGUUCCCCAUGCUCUGCUUCAGCACCCUGGGUUCUCUGGUUCGGAUCCUGGGUGCAGACCUACUCCACUCAUCAGCCAUGCUGUGGAGGCGUCCUGCAUACAAAAAAUGGAGGAAGAUUGGCACAGAUGUUAGCUCAGGGCUAAUCUUCCUAAAGCAAAGUAAAAGGAGGAUUGGCAAUGGAUCUUGGCUCAGGGUGAAUCUUCCUCACCAAAAAAGAAAAAAGAAAAGAAACAAGACUUGGCUGGCUGCCCUUUCCCUUUUCUCCUUCUAUGGAGGAUGGAUGCCAUGCUAAUGGUGGUGGUGCAGAGGGUUAGAAAGCUGGAUGGUUGAUGAGUUUCUUGGGCACCUGCCCCAGCACUGCACUCUCUACCUCCAGAUUUUGAUUAAUG